Pistacia vera is the source of this 265-nucleotide long non-coding RNA. RefSeq lists it as uncharacterized. The record is from RefSeq and is a predicted model, not a curated record. The transcript is spliced from 3 exons. NCBI's taxonomy places the organism in Eukaryota, Viridiplantae, Streptophyta, Magnoliopsida, Sapindales, Anacardiaceae.
AAAAAAUGUUUGAAAAAGAGAGAGAGAGAAAACCGUUACUUCUCAGAGGAACUGAGAAGCAGAGGGGCUACAGAAGCCAGUAGCUAAUCAACUUUUUCCUGUUUUGGGUUCUUGAAGAUGGCAAUGAAGAUCCUUUCUGGAAGCUGCUCUUCUGACCUUUCAUCUCUCUUUGGAGGAGCUUUCUACAUCAAUAGGAAUCGACUGACUCUUGCCGGAAUCGGUUUUUCUAGUAGUAUUUCGACCUUCUUACAAAAGCUAAAUUACG